AUUGAACGCUGGCGGCAGGCCUAACACAUGCAAGUCGAGCGGAAGAAGGGCGCUUGCUCCUGGAUUCAGCGGCGGACGGGUGUGUAAUGCCUAGGAAUCUGCCGGGUAGUGGGGGAUAACGUCCGGAAACGGGCGCUAAUACCGCAUGCGUCCUGGGGGAGAGAGUGGGGGAACUUCGGACCUCACGCUCUCGGAUGAGCCUAGGUCGGAUUAGCUAGUUGGUGGGGUAAAGGCCUACCAAGGCGACGAUCCGUAACUGGUCUGAGAGGAUGAUCAGUCACACUGGAACUGAGACACGGUCCAGACUCCUACGGGAGGCAGCAGUGGGGAAUAUUGGACAAAGGGCGAAAGCCUGAUCCAGCCAUGCCGCGUGUGUGAAGAAGGUCUUCGGAUUGUAAAGCACUUUAGGUUGGGAGGAAGGGCAGUAAGUUAAUACCUUGCUGUUUUGACGUUACCAACAGAAUAAGCACCGGCUAACUUCGUG
Molecule: ribosomal RNA, 484 nt
Filed under: uncultured bacterium
Lineage: Bacteria
Description: partial 16S ribosomal RNA
Rfam family: Bacterial small subunit ribosomal RNA
Source: RNAcentral